CUUUUUUCGAUUCUGAAGAAACAUAAAUUCUUUUAUUAUAUUAUGAGAGGAAGGUUGUUAGGGUUAUGAUUUGUUUCUGAUCCUUUUUUGCUUCUUUUUCUUUAGAUCUUUUUAAUUCUCCCAUAUUUGUUUGUUUCGGAAGAAACACAAUUUCUUCCGAGAAAAUUUUAUAGUUGAGGAUUCUUAGUUUUAGGUUGCCAUUCUUCCUUUCGAUAUUUUUA
Long non-coding RNA from Hibiscus syriacus, 221 nucleotides. RefSeq lists it as uncharacterized. The transcript is spliced from 4 exons. The record is from RefSeq and is a predicted model, not a curated record. Lineage: Eukaryota; Viridiplantae; Streptophyta; Magnoliopsida; Malvales; Malvaceae.